Molecule: ribosomal RNA, 402 nt
Filed under: uncultured bacterium
Lineage: Bacteria
Description: bacterial SSU rRNA
Rfam family: Bacterial small subunit ribosomal RNA
Source: RNAcentral
GAACGAACGCUGGCGGCAGGCCUAACACAUGCAAGUCGAACGAGAUCUUCGGAUCUAGUGGCGGACGGUGAGUAACGCGUGGGAACGUGCCCUUCUCUACGGAAUAGUCCUGGGAAACCUGGGUUUAAUACCGUAGUACGCCCUUCGGGGAAAGAAAUUUCGGGAAGGAUCGGCCCGCGUUGGAUUAGGUAGUUGGUAGGGGUAAGUGGCCGUACCAAGCCGACGAUCCAUAGCUGGUUUGAGAGAUGAUCAGCCACACUGGACUGAGACACGGCCCAGACUCCUACGGGAGCAGCAGUGGGGAAUCUUAGACAAUGGGGCAACCCUGAUCUAGCCAUGCCGCGUGAGUGACGAAGGCCCUAGGGUCGUAAAGCUCUUUCGCCAGGGAUGAUAAUGACAGUA